GUGAAGUGGAAAUUCUGCAGGCACCAGUAGAAAAGACAUACCUGUGGAAUUAAGGCAUGCCCUGAUGAUCAAAGCCCACUCACCGUACAAAUCCUCCAAGACCAGGUCAUUGCAUGAAUCCACAGCUGGAUCAGGCAUGGAACAGGCCGUGAGUACAGCAGGAUACUUUGUUCUUGGUCACAUGAUUUAUAAAUCUGGAGGCACUAGUGAAAGUUUUCCCAUUUUUAUGUAGUUUGUAGAAUGGAAUGUGUUGUGCCAUUUUAAAGGACUUUGACUUCAUUGCAUGAUCACGGGUUUUGGCGUCAAGCAGAUCUGAUUUCCAAUCCUGGUUCAUCACCUCCCCAUGUACCAGCUUUAACAUGUUAGAGAAAUAUCUCUCUCUUUAUCUCUUUCUCUUGCUCGUACUCUUUCUUUGCUUUUGUGUGUAACAGAAAUAAAUAUUUCUAGUUCAUAGGGCUCUUAGAGAAAACUAAAUGAGAUUUCAGGUGAGGCACCUGGCAGUGUCUGCCACUUACAGUGUAGGUAGCUACUGAAUAAAUGCUACUUCUCUCUCAUUCUUUUACUAUCCUGUUGCUCUAAUUUAAACACUUGGUACUGAUAGUUUAAUGUAACUACUAUUAAAUCUGAGAGAAACUGAAACUGUCAGUCUAAUUCAUGGGAGUUGAUUGUCUUCACAAUGAUAUUUCAGAUUCCCAAAUAUGUGACUCAUAUAUAUAUGUAUAAGCCAUAGUAAAACAAAAGGAGUGAUAUUUCUGGCUGUGAUGUGCUACAUUAUUUAUAUUAUUUAAAUAUUAUUUAAGUAUUUAAGGGAAACUUUUCACCAAUUCCUUGUGAUUAAGUAUAAGCACCUUACCUGGCUCAGUCAAACUUUCAUUUCAUAUAAUUCUUUGUUUUAUGUGUUUCUAAUCUCAUUGCCAGCUUCAAUAUAUUUAACUGUAUGCUGUGUAUAACUUUAAAAUGCCUUCAUCACUUUAUUUUAAAAUAAAUAUUUAAACAAUGUCAUUAUCUUAUUGGAAUGUAAUAAAUUAUACUUAUUUGGAUUAAUGUCUAAUUAUUCUUAUUUUAAAGAUGUGGAAUCUGAGAGAUUAAUUUACU
This 1095-nucleotide long non-coding RNA is filed under the name Dasypus novemcinctus (nine-banded armadillo). Its description in RNAcentral is "lncRNA (ENSDNOG00000051192.1)". Lineage: Eukaryota; Metazoa; Chordata; Mammalia; Cingulata; Dasypodidae. The record is from RNAcentral.